CACAAUUAAUUAGCGUACAAGUCCAUACGUUUAAUAAUGAUUUAUAAAGAUUACCAUAAUUCAAUCAUAACUUUUCAAUGUUCUGAAAAUCGGUUUGAACCGGCCGGUCGGACCGGUCGAACUGUGAACCAAACUGAAAAACGAAUCGGUCAAUCAUCAAAACUACAAAGUUACAAAAUCGGAAUUGAACCGACAAACCGGUCAGUAACCGAUCGGUCGAACCGAACCGUGAUCCGACCGGUUUUUAAGUAAGCAACAAAACGCUGCCGUUUUUGAGUUUUUUUCUCUCCGAAGUCUGAAUCCCUAAAUCACAAAAAUUUCCAAGGCUGAGACUGAGAUCCCUAAUUGCCUUCACUGCUCUCUCUACUUCAGUGGCUCCCAUUGUUGAUGAUUCUUCUUCGAGCAAGCUUGCUUUACUGAAGUCACUGGCGUCACCGCGUCACACGGGUCGAGGGCUCGCCGUCGAGACACCGCCGUCGCGCCACCUAGAGCCGUCGAAAAUUGAGAAGUGAGAAUGCCUCACUCUCACACGGGUCGAGCCACCGUUGUCGAGCCACCGCAGCAACCGUGGAUAACUGAGAAGGUGCCUUCGCUGUCUCCUACCGCUUCACUCUCACUCUCCCUCUCCCUAUUGCAUUACUUGCAUGUUCUGCCUUAAAGGUGCCUUCACUGUCUCAGUGUCUCCCACUCUCCUUGUUUUAUUUUUCUUUGAACUGUAUAGUGUGAUUUGUUGAUUACUCAAAUUGAUUGGAGGUAUUUUAGUUUGAAUUGAAACUGAGCUGUGAUUCAAGAUGAUGAACACCGAAACUGUGAACUUUGAAAUUCUGUCUCCCUUUAAAAUUUCUGUAUGCAACUUUGUUUCUGGCAUCAUCAUUGUACUUUGUGUUCAUGUAGCAAUUUGAGUAUGGGCUAUAGCUUAUGUUAAAAAUGUGGCUCAUUCCCAUUUAUGUGUUGACCGAGCUCUAGCUUCAGAGGGGAAAGUUUCAAAAAAAGCUGCAGGAGAGGUUUUAACACACGGAAGAGGUGAAUAUAUGUCGUCAGCAUUGUGGUAGCACCCUGCCAACACGCGGUGGGCGUGUUGCGUUAGGAAUCCAACCAGCUUUUGCAGAAAUUCUCGCACGUUUUCGAAAAAUUGUAGGUGCUCGUUCAACACAAGAUCAGCCGGAGACAUAGAAUUCGAUGGUAGAAGACGCUUUACAAGUAAUGAGAUUUUACCCCAUUUCUAGAAUUGGGGUGGUCAAAGAAUUUUAUCCUUUACUAUCUGCUUUGGUGGAAAGGUGGAGGCCGGAGGCUCACACCUUUGUAUUGUCGAUGGAUGAGGUUACCAUGACAUUGGAAGAUAUCGCUCAUAUAUUUGGCCUACCCAUUGAGGACAGGUUGUGAGCGGCUAUACAGAUAGCAAUGACAAAUUCCUGCAGAGUCAGAGCAUCGCAAUUUUCGGCCGCGAUCCCGUUGUAAGUAAUUCCUACAAAAUCUUAUAUAAAGGUGGCAUGUGUUUACCAUAUCAGAGACGCAGAGCCAUUAGACACUUUGAAGUCUAUUCAGAGAUACGUGAGAUGCCAGAUUUUCUGUUUGUUGGGUUCAACCCUAUUCGUGGAUAAGUCGAUGGCAAAUGCCCACGCAAAGUAUCACCGUUACUCCGCGAUUUUAAACUGUUCCACACUUACAGUUGGGGGUCAGUAUGUCUCGCGCAUCUUUAUAUGGCACUAUACCAUGCAUCACGAUAUGAUACUAAGGAGAUGGAUGACCCUCUUAAUCUUUUGUUUGUUUGCGCAUGGGAGCGAAUGCCAUGUAUUGUGCCCGUACUGAGACAGUACCUUCCAGCGACUGACGUACCAGUUGCUCGGAGGUGAAGUCAUUCCGCAUGAACCACAGCAUGAUUAUCGAAGACAACAAUGAUAUUUAGGCAGAAAAUAGACUACAUGGACGAGCCGUACGAAGGAUUGAUGAUACCCGACGAGCUACAUAGACACCUUGAGGUGAGUGACACUGUUGCUCCAUUAUUGUCAUUCGAGUGUGUCGAAUGGCACCCUACGAACUGAGUGAUGCAUCAGUUCGGGUAUGCACAACCCGCCUCAGAGGUAGAAAAAGUCAUUCCACCAGAAGAGCAUUGCAUCACUCUUUGCGGAAUGCAGCUUCAUGACUGGAGAGUUUUACAUGCGGGGUGAAAAACGGAAUGGGGCAUCCGUUGUAACACUCGGUUGCGGGAUCGGCACCCCUUUCGACUUGGGACUUUAGACCAUCGGCUGAGUACCGUGAUUGUCAGGAAUGAUCCUGUGAAAUCAUUUCCAUGGUGAAUGUGUGCUUACCGUUGUAUCUGCGUAUCUCCCAACAACCUUUUUCCAAAUCAAGCUGGCUCGGAUAAGCUAGUCGCACCCAUGCCUAUACGUCUUGCAUUUUGCAUAGAACGUCUAUGGUUCAGACUCAUAUAUAUUGUAAUCGACUCCUCUAGAGAUAAUGUAACUUCUAA
Long non-coding RNA from Arachis duranensis, 2470 nucleotides. RefSeq lists it as uncharacterized. The transcript is spliced from 5 exons. NCBI's taxonomy places the organism in Eukaryota, Viridiplantae, Streptophyta, Magnoliopsida, Fabales, Fabaceae. The record is from RefSeq and is a predicted model, not a curated record.